CAGUCGACGAUGAAGCACCAGCUUGCUGGUGUGGAUUAGUGGCGAACGGGUGAGUAACACGUGAGCAACCUGCCCCGGACUUUGGGAUAAGCGCUGGAAACGGCGUCUAAUACCGAAUAUGCACCAUGAAGGCAUCUUCAAUGGUGGGAAAGAUUUAUCGGUCCGGGAGGGGCUCGCGGCCUAUCAGCUUGUUGGUGAGGUAAUGGCUCACCAAGGCGUCGACGGGUAGCCGGCCUGAGAGGGUGACCGGCCACACUGGGACUGAGACACGGCCCAGACUCCUACGGGAGGCAGCAGUGGGGAAUAUUGCACAAUGGGCGCAAGCCUGAUGCAGCAACGCCGCGUGGGGGAUGACGGCCUUCGGGUUGUAAACCCCUUUUAGUAGGGAAGAAGCCUUCGGGUGACGGUACCUGCAGAAAAAGCGCCGGCUAACUACGUGCCAGCAGCCGCGGUAAUACGUAGGGCGCAAGCGUUAUCCGGAAUUAUUGGGCGUAAAGAGCUCGUAGGCGGCUUGUCGCGUCUGCUGUGAAAACUGGAGGCUCAACUUCCAGCGUGCAGUGGGUACGGGCAGGCUAGAGUGCGGUAGGGGAGAUUGGAAUUCCUGGUGUAGCGGUGGAAUGCGCAGAUAUCAGGAGGAACACCGAUGGCGAAGGCAGAUCUCUGGGCCGUAACUGACGCUGAGGAGCGAAAGAGUGGGGAGCGAACAGGCUUAGAUACCCUGGUAGUCCACUCCGUAAACGUUGGGAACUAGUUGUGGGGGCCUUUCCACGGUCUCCGUGACGCAGCUAACGCAUUAAGUUCCCCGCCUGGGGAGUACGGCCGCAAGGCUAAAACUCAAAGGAAUUGACGGGGACC
RNAcentral lists this ribosomal RNA (855 nucleotides) under Microbacterium sp. RNAcentral describes it as "bacterial SSU rRNA". It matches the Rfam family "Bacterial small subunit ribosomal RNA", at positions 59 to 921 of the family's 1533-position model. Lineage: Bacteria; Bacillati; Actinomycetota; Actinomycetes; Micrococcales; Microbacteriaceae. The record is from RNAcentral.